RNAcentral lists this transfer RNA (72 nucleotides) under Camelus ferus (Wild Bactrian camel). It matches the Rfam family "tRNA". From Rfam's summary of the family: Transfer RNA (tRNA) molecules are approximately 80 nucleotides in length. The record is from Rfam by way of RNAcentral. Lineage: Eukaryota; Metazoa; Chordata; Mammalia; Artiodactyla; Camelidae.
AGGGGUAUAGCUCAGUGGUAGAGGGUAUGCUUAGCAUGCACGAGGUCUUGGAUUCAAUCCCCAGUACCUCCA